AUUGAACGCUGGCGGCAUGCCUUACACAUGCAAGUCGAACGGCAGCACGGGAGCAAUCCUGGUGGCGAGUGGCGAACGGGUGAGUAAUAUAUCGGAACGUGCCCAGUCGUGGGGGAUAACGUAGAGAAAUUUACGCUAAUACCGCAUACGAUCUAAGGAUGAAAGCGGGGGGAUUCGCAAGAACCUCGCGCGAUUGGAGCGGCUGAUAUCAGAUUAGGUUGUUGGUGAGGUAAAAGCUCACCAAGCCGACGAUCUGUAGCUGGUUUGAGAGAACGACCAGCCACACUGGGACUGAGACACGGCCCAGACUCCUACGGGAGGCAGCAGUGGGGAAUUUUGGACAAUGGGCGCAAGCCUGAUCCAGCAAUGCCGCGUGCAGGAUGAAGGCCUUCGGGUUGGUAAACUAGCUUUGUUACGGAACGAAACGGUGA
RNAcentral lists this ribosomal RNA (431 nucleotides) under uncultured bacterium. RNAcentral's name for it is "bacterial SSU rRNA". It matches the Rfam family "Bacterial small subunit ribosomal RNA", at positions 30 to 456 of the family's 1533-position model. The record is from RNAcentral.